CUUUCCCUCUGGCUGUAGGCCUAACACAUACAAGUCGAACGGCAGCACAGUAAGAGCUUGCUCUUACGGGUGGCGAGUGGCGGACGGGUGAGGAAUACAUCGGAAUCUACUUUUUCGUGGGGGAUAACGUAGGGAAACUUACGCUAAUACCGCAUACGACCUACGGGUGAAAGCAGGGGAUCUUCGGACCUUGCGCGAUUGAAUGAGCCGAUGUCGGAUUAGCUAGUUGGCGGGGUAAAGGCCCACCAAGGCGACGAUCCGUAGCUGGUCUGAGAGGAUGAUCAGCCACACUGGAACUGAGACACGGUCCAGACUCCUACGGGAGGCAGCAGUGGGGAAUAUUGGACAAUGGGCGCAAGCCUGAUCCAGCCAUACCGCGUGGGUGAAGAAGGCCUUCGGGUUGUAAAGCCCUUUUGUUGGGAAAGAAAAGCAGCAGGUUAAUACCCCGCUGUUCUGACGGUACCCAAAGAAUAAGCACCGGCUAACUUCGUG
Molecule: ribosomal RNA, 492 nt
Filed under: uncultured bacterium
Lineage: Bacteria
Description: partial 16S ribosomal RNA
Rfam family: Bacterial small subunit ribosomal RNA
Source: RNAcentral